This 439-nucleotide ribosomal RNA is filed under the name Mourgona osumi. Its description in RNAcentral is "partial 16S ribosomal RNA". It matches the Rfam family "Bacterial large subunit ribosomal RNA", at positions 1816 to 2601 of the family's 2925-position model. Lineage: Eukaryota; Metazoa; Mollusca; Gastropoda; Caliphyllidae. The record is from RNAcentral.
AGCUUAGAGCUUCAUUCUAGGUGAGACCUGCCCAGUGCUUUUGUUAACGGCCGCAGUAUCUUGACUGUGCUAAGGUAGCAAAAUAAGUUGGCUUUUAAAUGGAGUCGGGAAUGAAUGGAUUUAUGGGAUAAAGCUGUCUCACUUAUGCUUAAUUUAAUUUGCUUAGUAGGUGAAAAUGCCUAAUUUAAGAAAAAAGACGAGAAGACCCUAGGAGUUUUAACUAAACUAUAUUCUUUUUUAUAGUGCGUUUUUGUUGGGGCGACAUUGAAGUAAUCUUGCAAACCUUCAUUUUAACAUUUGCCGACUUUGUAUGUAAAUUUAAACUACCCUAGGGAUAACAGCGUAAUUUUUUAAAAGCUUGCGACCUCGAUGUUGGACUAGGAAUUUAAUAGGUUAGCCGCUUAUUUAUAUGGUUCUGUUCGAACUGUAUCUCCUACAU